This 1212-nucleotide ribosomal RNA is filed under the name Leuconostoc pseudomesenteroides. RNAcentral's name for it is "bacterial SSU rRNA". It matches the Rfam family "Bacterial small subunit ribosomal RNA", at positions 114 to 1314 of the family's 1533-position model. Lineage: Bacteria; Bacillati; Bacillota; Bacilli; Lactobacillales; Lactobacillaceae. The record is from RNAcentral.
CACGUGGACAACCUGCCUCAAGGCUGGGGAUAACAUUUGGAAACAGAUGCUAAUACCGAAUGAAACUUAGUGUCGCAUGAUACGAAGUUAAAAGGCGCUUUGGCGUCACCUAGAGAUGGAUCCGCGGUGCAUUAGUUAGUUGGUGGGGUAAAGGCCUACCAAGACAAUGAUGCAUAGCCGAGUUGAGAGACUGAUCGGCCACAUUGGGACUGAGACACGGCCCAAACUCCUACGGGAGGCUGCAGUAGGGAAUCUUCCACAAUGGGCGAAAGCCUGAUGGAGCAACGCCGCGUGUGUGAUGAAGGCUUUCGGGUCGUAAAGCACUGUUGUAUGGGAAGAACAGCUAGAAUAGGGAAUGAUUUUAGUUUGACGGUACCAUACCAGAAAGGGACGGCUAAAUACGUGCCAGCAGCCGCGGUAAUACGUAUGUCCCGAGCGUUAUCCGGAUUUAUUGGGCGUAAAGCGAGCGCAGACGGUUGAUUAAGUCUGAUGUGAAAGCCCGGAGCUCAACUCCGGAAUGGCAUUGGAAACUGGUUAACUUGAGUGCAGUAGAGGUAAGUGGAACUCCAUGUGUAGCGGUGGAAUGCGUAGAUAUAUGGAAGAACACCAGUGGCGAAGGCGGCUUACUGGACUGUAACUGACGUUGAGGCUCGAAAGUGUGGGUAGCAAACAGGAUUAGAUACCCUGGUAGUCCACACCGUAAACGAUGAACACUAGGUGUUAGGAGGUUUCCGCCUCUUAGUGCCGAAGCUAACGCAUUAAGUGUUCCGCCUGGGGAGUACGACCGCAAGGUUGAAACUCAAAGGAAUUGACGGGGACCCGCACAAGCGGUGGAGCAUGUGGUUUAAUUCGAAGCAACGCGAAGAACCUUACCAGGUCUUGACAUCCUUUGAAGCUUUUAGAGAUAGAAGUGUUCUCUUCGGAGACAAAGUGACAGGUGGUGCAUGGUCGUCGUCAGCUCGUGUCGUGAGAUGUUGGGUUAAGUCCCGCAACGAGCGCAACCCUUAUUGUUAGUUGCCAGCAUUCAGAUGGGCACUCUAGCGAGACUGCCGGUGACAAACCGGAGGAAGGCGGGGACGACGUCAGAUCAUCAUGCCCCUUAUGACCUGGGCUACACACGUGCUACAAUGGCGUAUACAACGAGUUGCCAACCCGCGAGGGUGAGCUAAUCUCUUAAAGUACGUCUCAGUUCGGAUUGUAGUCUGCAACUCG